This 251-nucleotide ribosomal RNA is filed under the name uncultured bacterium. RNAcentral describes it as "partial 16S ribosomal RNA". It matches the Rfam family "Bacterial small subunit ribosomal RNA", at positions 524 to 776 of the family's 1533-position model. The record is from RNAcentral.
UACGAAGGGGGCUAGCGUUGUUCGGAAUUACUGGGCGUAAAGCGCACGUAGGCGGAUUGUUAAGUUAGGGGUGAAAUCCCGGGGCUCAACCCGGAACUGCCUUUAAUACUGGCAAUCUCGAGUCCGAGAGAGGUGAGUGGAAUUCCGAGUGUAGAGGUGAAAUUCGUAGAUAUUCGCAAGAACACCAGUGGCGAAGGCGGCUCACUGGCCCGGUACUGACGCUGAGGUGCGAAAGCGUGGGAGCAAACAGG